This 500-nucleotide ribosomal RNA is filed under the name uncultured bacterium. Its description in RNAcentral is "partial 16S ribosomal RNA". It matches the Rfam family "Bacterial small subunit ribosomal RNA", at positions 30 to 523 of the family's 1533-position model. The record is from RNAcentral.
ACUGAACGCUGGCGGCAUGCCUUACACAUGCAAGUCGAACGGCAGCACGGGAGCAAUCCUGGUGGCGAGUGGCGAACGGGUGAGUAAUAUAUCGGAACGUGCCCAGUCGUGGGGGAUAACGUAGCGAAAGCUACGCUAAUACCGCAUACGAUCUAUGGAUGAAAGCGGGGGAUCGCAAGACCUCGCGCGAUUGGAGCGGCCGAUAUCAGAUUAGGUAGUUGGUGGGGUAAAGGCUCACCAAGCCGACGAUCUGUAGCUGGUCUGAGAGGACGACUCUCCACACUGGGACUGAGACACGGCCCAGACUCCUACGGGAGGCAGCAGUGGGGAGUUUUGGACAAUGGGCGCAAGCCUGAUCCAGCCAUGCCGCGUGUCUGAAGAAGGCCUUCGGGUUGUAAAGGACUUUUGUCCGGGAGCAAAUACCCAGUGCUAAUAACGCUGGGGGCUGAGAGUACCGGAAGAAUAAGCACUGGCUAACUACGUGCCAGCCGCCGCCGUAA